AGAAAAUUAGUUAAAUUUUUUAUAAUAAUAGGUUGUCGAGCUAUAGUUAUUGGUUAAAAUCCAAUAUUUUCUA
RNAcentral lists this transfer RNA (73 nucleotides) under Comatella stelligera. RNAcentral describes it as "tRNA-Asp". It matches the Rfam family "tRNA". From Rfam's summary of the family: Transfer RNA (tRNA) molecules are approximately 80 nucleotides in length. Their secondary structure includes four short double-helical elements and three loops (D, anti-codon, and T loops). Lineage: Eukaryota; Metazoa; Echinodermata; Crinoidea; Comatulida; Comatulidae. The record is from RNAcentral.